Long non-coding RNA from Lolium rigidum, 1350 nucleotides. RefSeq lists it as uncharacterized. The record is from RefSeq and is a predicted model, not a curated record. Lineage: Eukaryota; Viridiplantae; Streptophyta; Magnoliopsida; Poales; Poaceae. The transcript has 4 exons.
AUAAAUAGAGUAUUUUCAUGGUCCUCUUGAAUACCUUUUAAAUUCCUCUGAAAAUAGAGUAUUUUGAAAUGGCUUUUGGUUCUCUAACAUAUUUGAAUUUUGUCGUAUUUCAAAAAUAUCAGAGCUUACCUGGAAAAAGGUAUGAAGAAAUUGAUGGCAAUUGAUCCCCCGUUGGUAAGUAGGUCUACAGAAACAUCAAAUUUCAUGUGUGAUAAUUUGUUUUUAGCUGUGCCUACAAUACAAUGCUCAAAUAGUUAUCAUGUAUAUACAUCCCGAGCAGAGACUGGAUCGUGUUCUUGUUACCAAAAUUUAACGGUACCUGUUGUGUUUAUCAACAUAAUUGAAGUAUGGAAGAAAACAUACUCAUCGUUUCCUAAGCCACUGGCAUGGCAAAGGUUCUGCAUAAAAAGUAGUAUUGUUGCUUGCUUUAAAGUAUUUUUGUAGAUCUGCUUAUAUUGGUGCUGGAUAGCUACUUUAGGCUACUCUACGGUUCUAUUUGACUGUUUCAUGUUUUUUUGUUUAUAUUGGUUUACAUCCAUAUCCCAAUACCAUGGGCAUUUAUUCAGGUGUAUAGCUACGAAAGGAGAUGAUACCCCUUUAAUGUGACAAGUUUUAAAAUUGCUCGUUCCUUGUUUUGUCUUCUCUGUCCACAAGUUGCCAUUUUGCAGCUUUCUCAUUCUCACAAAGUCUGUUCAGUUCUGUCUAGGAGCGUAGAACUAUGGUUAUCGUCAUUGUUGGAGGCAAAAGCCAGAGCAAUUUUAUUUCUACUUUCAUGUGUCGUGAUUUUCUAUUCUGGGAAGGAAACAAUAAGGGAGGCUUAGGAUUAUUAAUGCCAUGGUCUUUGCUCUUUGAGGGUUACAUAUUUGGUCACUGAAGCCAAAUCAAGCAUUUGAGUCGCUCAGUUCGAUGGAGGACGAGCCAGAAACAGAAAACACUAUCGCAGAGGUACUUAUAGCAAAUACAGAGUGGGCCAAUAUUCGAAAAGAGCACAAGACUUGAGGAUUUGAGCAUGCUUGUAGGCCAGAAGCAUCACCUUCAGACUUUGUCACUUGUUGACAGUCUAAAAUUGACCCUGAACUGAUAUGGGCACUUGCUAAGCAAGACAUCAAAGACCAGCACUAGCUGAAGAAGAGUAUGUAGCGAGGUUAUUCGUCAAAAGUAUUUACAAACCAUGGCACAUCUAAUUGUAAGCCCCUUGACCUGGCUGGGAUCACAGCCCCACAGAUCUUUUUCGUCGUACUCUGGUCUUUAUCGCAGCCUACCGGAAAUAGGGCGUAUAAGUUGAGAUUUUAACAUGUGUGUGUGAUUGUAACCUCCGGAAUGAGCUUUUUUAUCUUCUUCUAUUAAUAU